AACGCUGGCGGCGUGCCUAAUACAUGCAAGUCGAACGCACAGCGAAAGGUGCUUGCACCUUUCAAGUGAGUGGCGAACGGGUGAGUAACACGUGGACAACCUGCCUCAAGGCUGGGGAUAACAUUUGGAAACAGAUGCUAAUACCGAAUAAAACUUAGUGUCGCAUGACACAAAGUUAAAAGGCGCUUCGGCGUCACCUAGAGAUGGAUCCGCGGUGCAUUAGUUAGUUGGUGGGGUAAAGGCCUACCAAGACAAUGAUGCAUAGCCGAGUUGAGAGACUGAUCGGCCACAUUGGGACUGAGACACGGCCCAAACUCCUACGGGAGGCUGCAGUAGGGAAUCUUCCACAAUGGGCGAAAGCCUGAUGGAGCAACGCCGCGUGUGUGAUGAAGGCUUUCGGGUCGUAAAGCACUGUUGUAUGGGAAGAACAGCUAGAAUAGGAAAUGAUUUUAGUUUGACGGUACCAUACCAGAAAGGGACGGCUAAAUACGUGCCAGCAGCCGCGGUAAUACGUAUGUCCCGAGCGUUAUCCGGAUUUAUUGGGCGUAAAGCGAGCGCAGACGGUUUAUUAAGUCUGAUGUGAAAGCCCGGAGCUCAACUCCGGAAUGGCAUUGGAAACUGGUUAACUUGAGUGCAGUAGAGGUAAGUGGAACUCCAUGUGUAGCGGUGGAAUGCGUAGAUAUAUGGAAGAACACCAGUGGCGAAGGCGGCUUACUGGACUGCAACUGACGUUGAGGCUCGAAAGUGUGGGUAGCAAACAGGAUUAGAUACCCUGGUAGUCCACACCGUAAACGAUGAACACUAGGUGUUAGGAGGUUUCCGCCUCUUAGUGCCGAAGCUAACGCAUUAAGUGUUCCGCCUGGGGAGUACGACCGCAAGGUUGAAACUCAAAGGAAUUGACGGGGACCCGCACAAGCGGUGGAGCAUGUGGUUUAAUUCGAAGCAACGCGAAGAACCUUACCAGGUCUUGACAUCCUUUGAAGCUUUUAGAGAUAGAAGUGUUCUCUUCGGAGACAAAGUGACAGGUGGUGCAUGGUCGUCGUCAGCUCGUGUCGUGAGAUGUUGGGUUAAGUCCCGCAACGAGCGCAACCCUUAUUGUUAGUUGCCAGCAUUCAGAUGGGCACUCUAGCGAGACUGCCGGUGACAAACCGGAGGAAGGCGGGGACGACGUCAGAUCAUCAUGCCCCUUAUGACCUGGGCUACACACGUGCUACAAUGGCGUAUACAACGAGUUGCCAACCCGCGAGGGUGAGCUAAUCUCUUAAAGUACGUCUCAGUUCGGAUUGUAGUCUGCAACUCGACUACAUGAAGUCGGAAUCGCUAGUAAUCGCGGAUCAGCACGCCGCGGUGAAUACGUUCCCGGGUCUUGUACACACCGCCCGUCACACCAUGGGAGUUUGUAAUGCCCAAAGCCGGUGGCCUAACCUUUUAGGAAGGAGCCGUCUAAGGCAGGACAGAUGACUGGGGUG
This 1469-nucleotide ribosomal RNA is filed under the name Leuconostoc mesenteroides subsp. mesenteroides. RNAcentral describes it as "bacterial SSU rRNA". It matches the Rfam family "Bacterial small subunit ribosomal RNA". The record is from RNAcentral. Lineage: Bacteria; Bacillati; Bacillota; Bacilli; Lactobacillales; Lactobacillaceae.